RNAcentral lists this ribosomal RNA (549 nucleotides) under uncultured bacterium. RNAcentral's name for it is "bacterial SSU rRNA". It matches the Rfam family "Bacterial small subunit ribosomal RNA", at positions 356 to 896 of the family's 1533-position model. The record is from RNAcentral.
GGGGAAUCUUCCGCAAUGGACGAAAGUCUGACGGAGCAACGCCGCGUGAGUGAUGAAGGUCUUCGGAUUGUAAAGCUCUGUUAAUCGGGACGAAAGAGUUCUGUGUAAAUAAUGCAGAAAAGUGACGGUACCGGAAUAGAAAGCCACGGCUAACUACGUGCCAGCAGCCGCGGUAAUACGUAGGUGGCAAGCGUUGUCCGGAAUUAUUGGGCGUAAAGCGCGCGCAGGCGGCCUAUCCAGUCUGUCUUAAAAGUUCGGGGCUUAACCCCGUGAUGGGAUGGAAACUGCCAAUCUAGAGUAUCGGAGAGGAAAGUGGAAUUCCUAGUGUAGCGGUGAAAUGCGUAGAUAUUAGGAAGAACACCAGUGGCGAAGGCGACUUUCUGGACGAAAACUGACGCUGAGGCGCGAAAGCCAGGGGAGCGAACGGGAUUAGAUACCCCGGUAGUCCUGGCCGUAAACGAUGGGUACUAGGUGUAGGAGGUAUCGACCCCUUCUGUGCCGGAGUUAACGCAAUAAGUACCCCGCCUGGGGAGUACGGCCGCAAGGUUG